RNAcentral lists this ribosomal RNA (253 nucleotides) under uncultured bacterium. RNAcentral describes it as "partial 16S ribosomal RNA". It matches the Rfam family "Bacterial small subunit ribosomal RNA", at positions 524 to 776 of the family's 1533-position model. The record is from RNAcentral.
GACGAAGGGGGCUAGCGUUGUUCGGAAUUACUGGGCGUAAAGCGCGUGUAGGCGGUUGGUCAAGUCAGGUGUGAAAGCCUUGAGCUCAACUCAAGAAAUGCACUUGAUACUGAAUGACUAGAGGACCGGAGAGGAUAGUGGAAUUCCCAGUGUAGUGGUGAAAUACGUAGAGAUUGGGAAGAACACCAGUGGCGAAGGCGGCUAUCUGGACGGUUACUGACGCUAAGACGCGAAAGCGUGGGGAGCAAACAGG